This 200-nucleotide ribosomal RNA is filed under the name Salmonella enterica subsp. enterica serovar Hadar. RNAcentral's name for it is "partial 23S ribosomal RNA". It matches the Rfam family "Bacterial large subunit ribosomal RNA", at positions 1443 to 1643 of the family's 2925-position model. Lineage: Bacteria; Pseudomonadati; Pseudomonadota; Gammaproteobacteria; Enterobacterales; Enterobacteriaceae. The record is from RNAcentral. RNAcentral also lists the same sequence under 8 other names.
ACUUGGUGUUACUGCGAAGGGGGGACGGAGAAGGCUAUGUUGGCCGGGCGACGGUUGUCCCGGUUUAAGCGUGUAGGUGUGUGUUCCAGGUAAAUCCGGUUCACUUUAACACUGAGGCGUGACGACGAGGCACUACGGUGCUGAAGCAACAAAUGCCCUGCUUCCAGGAAAAGCCUCUAAGCAUCAGGUAACAUCAAAUC